This is a long non-coding RNA of Octopus sinensis (East Asian common octopus), 1444 nucleotides long. RefSeq lists it as uncharacterized. The transcript is spliced from 3 exons. The record is from RefSeq and is a predicted model, not a curated record. Lineage: Eukaryota; Metazoa; Mollusca; Cephalopoda; Octopoda; Octopodidae.
AUUAUGCUGACUAAGUCAAUAUUGACGACGAUGACGAUGAUGAUGAUGGUGAUGAUGAGGGUAAUGACAUCAACGAACGACAACGUUGAUAGGCAUUCAGUGCCAGAUUCUCAUUGUCAGUCAAACGGCAGCUCACACAAUUGUCCUCUUUCGUUUCUCUCUCUCUGUCAACAUUAAUUACCAAGACGGGCCGCGUUGGAAUGAGAGUUGGGUUGGAGAGAAAGAGAAGGGGAAAGAGGCAGAUAGACAGGAGAGAGAGAGAGGGGAAGAAGGAGAGGAGAGGGAGAGAUAAAGCGAAGAGAGAGAGAGAAAAGAGCAACGGAACAAUGGCUGAGAGAGCGGCGGCUGAGCAGGAACUAUCGGAAUGGUAAACAAUAUAAAUACAUUGUUGCUGGGCGUGCACCAUGGGAACGGUAAUAUGGUGAAACGGAGAUAGAAAGAGAGAGUAGAGUAGGAGGAAGUAACAAGAAGAGCGAUAGAGUGAUGAAGGGAAGGAGAGAGCGAGAGAAAGGGAAAGGGUGGUAGGUCUAAGGAAAGAGUGCGCGCGCGUGUGGUAUACACACACACACACACACUAUAUCAGAGAGAGAGAGAGAGAGAGGUGGAGGGAGAGAGAGAGGGAGAGAGAAAGAGAGAGGACUAGCUGGAGGUAUGCAAGCUACUUGCUGAUGAAGGCGGUGGCGGCGACGACGGCCGUUAAUUACAUGAAGGAAUAAGCUACAAGUUCAUGGGAGUUUGCAGUGUUUAGCGCCUGAUUCUUGCACUCUGAGUACGCGCGCGCGCGUGUGUGUGUGUGCACCUACAUACACACAUAUGUACAUGCAUGUGUAUAGAUAUAUGCAUGUGUGUAUAUAUAUACGUGUGUGUGUGUAUAUAUGUGUUUAGUGCGUGUGUGGACUCUUUUGGAUGAGGAGUUGGAAACGGUCUGUGUUCCUGUGAUGGGCGAAACCCCGCGCUGCCACCAUCCAGUUCUUUAGAUGAACAUUACGUCUCCAUCGAUACAUAUAUAUACACACUCACACAUGUAUAUAUAUUAUAAAUAGACAUUAUAUAUACAUCUUAUAUAUUAAACACAUCUACUUGCACAUACAAAACACACUUAAGAUUUCUUAACUAUAUUCUGCAGACGACAUUUUACCAAGAAGGAUUUAUAAACACACCUCUAUCGGCAAUAAUAAAUGAAAUGCAAUCAUUAAUUGAUACUUUAAUGAUGUUGACAUUAACCACGACGACGAUGGCAACAUUAUCAUGAUGACGACGAUGAUGAUGAUGGUGGUGGUUGUUAUUGAACGACCUCCUCUGCUCUCAUAGUUUUUUUUACUUGGCUGCCAUGUUGAUUAGUACGACUUAGCUCUCACAUUAAACUGAAUAAACAACCAGACACACACCAUUACAAGAAGAGUUCUACCAAAAUCUGUCCCAAUGGCUGAAAGUGAAGAACUUG